Molecule: long non-coding RNA, 114 nt
Organism: Maniola jurtina (meadow brown)
Lineage: Eukaryota; Metazoa; Arthropoda; Insecta; Lepidoptera; Nymphalidae
Exons: 3
Source: RefSeq, a predicted model, not a curated record
GCAAUGCCACUUCGAAGUUAGCCCAUUUCUACUUUAGACUGUAUCAUUACUUAACACCAGGUGAGAUCGCACGCAAGGGAUAACUUGUAAUGGUAUAAAAAAUGCCAGUGAAAU